RNAcentral lists this ribosomal RNA (407 nucleotides) under Verrucomicrobiota bacterium. RNAcentral describes it as "Verrucomicrobia bacterium partial 16S ribosomal RNA". It matches the Rfam family "Bacterial small subunit ribosomal RNA", at positions 355 to 776 of the family's 1533-position model. Lineage: Bacteria; Pseudomonadati; Verrucomicrobiota. The record is from RNAcentral.
UGGGGAAUAUUGGGCAAUGGGCGAAAGCCUGACCCAGCAACGCCGCUUGAGUGAUGAAGGCCUUCGGGUUGUAAAACUCUUUGGACAGGGACGAAGAAAGUGACGGUACCUGUAGAACAAGCCACGGCUAACUACGUGCCAGCAGCCGCGGUAAUACGUAGGGCGCAAGCGUUAUCCGGAAUUAUUGGGCGUAAAGAGCUUGUAGGCGGUUCGUCGCGUCUGGUGUGAAAGCCCAUCGCUUAACGGUGGGUUUGCGCCGGGUACGGGCGGGCUAGAGUGCAGUAGGGGAGACUGGAAUUCCCGGUGUAACGGUGGAAUGUGUAGAUAUCGGGAAGAACACCAAUGGCGAAGGCAGGUCUCUGGGCUGUUACUGACGCUGAGAAGCGAAAGCGUGGGGAGCGAACAGG